This 2510-nucleotide long non-coding RNA is filed under the name Sus scrofa (pig). Its description in RNAcentral is "lncRNA (ENSSSCG00045028334.1)". Lineage: Eukaryota; Metazoa; Chordata; Mammalia; Artiodactyla; Suidae. The record is from RNAcentral.
UUUUUNUUUUUUUUUUUUUUUUUAAAGGGUGCAUCCAGCAAAAGCAAAGCUCCAGCAUAUGGGAGGGAGAGGGGCCUUGGGGCUUCUCCAAGGAAGGCCUUACUUCCAAGAGAAUGCCCUGCCCCCAUCAUCACGCUGGACCUUUCCACACACCAGCUGAGUGGCUUAGUGGCAGCUCCAACACCAGCAGCAGCUCCCCAUGCCACCCCACCUCCACUCCCCUGAAAGCUGUUUUCUGAGCAUCAGGCCUGAGUGUCAUCUCAUCUCCUUUAGAAGCCCAGGCCCAGGCCCAGGCCGCAUGCUCUCUUUCACUUUAAUUCGGAAGCUCUGAUGCCCUUGAAGAGAAUCCUACUCCUCUCCCUCCCCCAGCUCUUCCUGGAAGCAGCCUGGCAAAGCUGACAGGAAGACAUGGCUGCUGCCCCCACAAGAGCCAGGACCCGGAGAGGGAAGACGGCCCUGAGCCACCCAGGGGCAGGGGCAGGCAGCUUAGGAAGAUGGGGCCCUCCAGAGGCAAGAAGACUGGGCUGCAGGGUGUAGGUCGGAUCAAUCCCUGGAUUCAGUCCCAGGAAUUUCCAUAUGCCUUGGGUGUGGCCAGGACACAAAAGAACAAACAAAACACAUCCUACCAAGUAGAGAAAGCAUGUGUGCAGGCUCUUGCAAGGGGCGGAAAGUGGAAAACACAGACUUUCUUUUUUCUUUUUUUGAGCCUUGCAUGUGACAGGCACCUGUGCCACAGCAGUGUCAACAACAGGUCCUUAACCAGCUGAGCCACUUGGGAACUCUGAUACUGUCUUUCUGGGGGGCGUGGUUUGUGGGGUACGCCCAGGAACCAGCAAAUACCACCUCUUCCAUCUGGAAAGGUGGGGCCAAACCUCUCCGAAGAAAAUGAGGGUGUUGCUGAGACUUACUCUGAAGCCUGCUAUCUGAGAAAUAACAUCGGUCUUUGUUACUCCGGGCCGAGGGCUGAAGCUGCCCAGACAAACGCAGCCAUGGAGUGGAACAGACCCUGUACCGAGGAGGAUAACUACCAAGCCAGGUUGUGGUCAGGCGGCCUUUGGGCUCCGGCCAAGAAGGGAAGGGUGUGAAAGUCUCCUGGGGGCAUGGGGAUGGCCCCUCCCACACCACCGCCUGGAACACCGGUGCCUGCCCCCCAGCGCCCCCCACCCACAGUGGCCUGAUCUCUGUCUCAGGCUUUGGGAGUCAAAUCAGGGCUGCCCAGACCGCCUGCUUUUGGGAGAAGCUGAGAAAAACAGGUUGGGACAGACUGAUUCUGAAACUGCCUACUCAUCCCCCUCAAACACCCAGGCCUGGGAUGAGAGCUCCUGUGGCUGCCUCCCCCUGGAGGGCAAAGUGUGAAAACAGGCUGGGGUCGGGGGGUGGCGUCUCAGGGCUGAGGAGGGGCGGGCUGUGUUUUCCUGGGUGUCCCCCUGGGGUUCCUCCCAGGCCCAGCUCCUGGGGGCCUUCGGACAGAGCAGGUAGAGCCCAGAGGACACAGCAGGGCAGGCUCCUCCACUCACAUCCCUUCACUGCUGACACUUCUGGUCCCCAAAUGUGAGGGUUCCCCACCCACCAACACCAAGCAGUUCAUCCACACGAGCUGGGAGUCCUGCAACUUAACUAAUUCUGACACUAUCCCCUUGGAGACAGUGUCAGAGCCCUCAGGUUAACGGCAUCACCACUUUCAAGAGAAAAGCUGCACAGUGUAUUAUCUUCAGAAAACACAUUUAAAAUUAGACUAAUAGACAAGUUAAAGGAUAUAAGGAAGAUACUGGAACAAGAACACAAAAACAUCAUGGAGUUCCCAUCGUGGCGCAGUGGUUAACGAAUCCAACUAGGAACCAUGAGGCUGUGGGUUCGAUCCCUGGCCUUGCUUAGUGAGUUGCCAUGAGCUGUGGUGUAGGUGGCAGACACAGCUCGGAUUCCAUGUUGCUGUGGCUGUGGCGUAGGCCGCAGCUCCAGUUAGACCCCUAGCCUAGGAACCUCGAUAUGCUUCUGGAGCAGCCCUAGGAAAGACCAAAAAAAAAGAACACAAAAACAUCAAAAGGAACCAGUGCAUAAUAGUUGAAUACAUAAUAGUUAAGAACAAUAUUCAACAAUAUUCAGAUAUCCUCUCUUUUAAAAAAAAAAAAAUUAUUUAUUUAUUUGGCCCCUCCCACAGCACACGAAGUUCCCUGGCCAGGGAGCAAAGCCACGCCACAGCCGGGACAACACUGGAUCCUUAACCAGGCCAUCAGGUAACUCCCUCAGGUAGUCUCAGGAAUGGAAGAACUAGAUAGCUGGAGCAUAAAUUAGUGAACUGAAGUAACAGAAAUUCCCCAAAAGGAAAAAAGAAAGAACAAAGGAAGAAAAAAUAUAGCAGAGGUUAUAUAUCUUCGCUGAGAGAUAUAGGGCAUAAGAGUAGAAGUGAUAAUAUUCAGAAAACAGGAGUCCUGGAAGGAGACACAAAUGGAGAUGAGGAAAUAUCCCAAGACAUAAUGGAGAAAAAUUUCUUGGAAUUAGAAAAAAAAAAA